GACGAACGCUGGCGGCGUGCUUAACACAUGCAAGUCGAACGGAAAGGCCCUGCUUUUGUGGGGUGCUCGAGUGGCGAACGGGUGAGUAACACGUGAGUAACCUGCCCUUGACUUUGGGAUAACUUCAGGAAACUGGGGCUAAUACCGGAUAGGAGCUCCUGCUGCAUGGUGGGGGUUGGAAAGUUUCGGCGGUUGGGGAUGGACUCGCGGCUUAUCAGCUUGUUGGUGGGGUAGUGGCUUACCAAGGCUUUGACGGGUAGCCGGCCUGAGAGGGUGACCGGCGACAUUGGGACUGAGAUACGGCGCAGACUGCUACGGGAGGCAGCAGGGGGGAAUAUGGCACAAUGGGCGGAAGCCUGAUGCAGAAACGCCGCGUGCGGGAUGACGGCCUUCGGGUUGUAAACCGCUUUCGCCUGUGACGAAGCGUGAGUGACGGUAAUGGGUAAAGAAGCACCGGCUAACUACGUG
RNAcentral lists this ribosomal RNA (468 nucleotides) under uncultured bacterium. RNAcentral's name for it is "partial 16S ribosomal RNA". It matches the Rfam family "Bacterial small subunit ribosomal RNA", at positions 28 to 507 of the family's 1533-position model. The record is from RNAcentral.